This 837-nucleotide ribosomal RNA is filed under the name uncultured bacterium. RNAcentral's name for it is "bacterial SSU rRNA". It matches the Rfam family "Bacterial small subunit ribosomal RNA", at positions 8 to 827 of the family's 1533-position model. The record is from RNAcentral.
AGAGUUUGAUCCUUGCUCAGGACGAACGCUGGCAGCGUGCCUAAUACAUGCAAGUAGAACGCUGAAGAGAGGAGCUUGCUCUUCUUGGAUGAGUUGCGAACGGGUGAGUAACGCGUAGGUAACCUGCCUUGUAGCGGGGGAUAACUAUUGGAAACGAUAGCUAAUACCGCAUAACAAUGGAUGACACAUGUCAUUUAUUUGAAAGGGGCAAUUGCUCCACUACAAGAUGGACCUGCGUUGUAUUAGCUAGUAGGUGAGGUAAUGGCUCACCUAGGCGACGAUACAUAGCCGACCUGAGAGGGUGAUCGGCCACACUGGGACUGAGACACGGCCCAGACUCCUACGGGAGGCAGCAGUAGGGAAUCUUCGGCAAUGGGGGCAACCCUGACCGAGCAACGCCGCGUGAGUGAAGAAGGUUUUCGGAUCGUAAAGCUCUGUUGUAAGUCAAGAACGGGUGUGAGAGUGGAAAGUUCACACUGUGACGGUAGCUUACCAGAAAGGGACGGCUAACUACGUGCCAGCAGCCGCGGUAAUACGUAGGUCCCGAGCGUUGUCCGGAUUUAUUGGGCGUAAAGCGAGCGCAGGCGGUUUGAUAAGUCUGAAGUUAAAGGCUGUGGCUCAACCAUAGUUCGCUUUGGAGACUGUCAAACUUGAGUGCAGAAGGGGAGAGUGGAAUUCCAUGUGUAGCGGUGAAAUGCGUAGAUAUAUGGAGGAACACCGGUGGCGAAAGCGGCUCUCUGGUCUGUAACUGACGCUGAGGCUCGAAACGCGUGGGGAGCGAACAGGAUUAGAUACCCUGGUAGUCCACGCCGUAAACGAUGAGUGCUAGGUGUUGGA